This 439-nucleotide ribosomal RNA is filed under the name uncultured bacterium. Its description in RNAcentral is "partial 16S ribosomal RNA". It matches the Rfam family "Bacterial small subunit ribosomal RNA", at positions 338 to 795 of the family's 1533-position model. The record is from RNAcentral.
CCUACGGGAGGCAGCAGUGGGGGAUAUUGCACAAUGGGGGGAGCCCUGAUGCAGCGACACCGCGUGGGUGAAGGAGUGCUUCGGCAUGUAAAGCCCUAUCGGCAGGGAAGAAGCACGACGGUACCUGACUAGAAGCCCCGGCUAACUACGUGCCAGCAGCCGCGGUAAUACGGAGGAUGCGAGCGUUAUCCGGAUUUAUUGGGUUUAAAGGGUGCGUAGGCGGACUGGAAAGUCAGCGGUAAAAUCGAGAGGCUCAACCUCUUUCCGCCGUUGAAACUGUCGGUCUUGAGUGGGCGAGAAGUAUGCGGAAUGCGUGGUGUAGCGGUGAAAUGCAUAGAUAUCACGCAGAACUCCGAUUGCGAAGGCAGCAUACCGGCGCCCGACUGACGCUGAGGCACGAAAGCGUGGGUAUCGAACAGGAUUAGAUACCCUGGUAGUC